This 261-nucleotide ribosomal RNA is filed under the name uncultured archaeon. RNAcentral describes it as "partial 16S ribosomal RNA". It matches the Rfam family "Archaeal small subunit ribosomal RNA", at positions 748 to 1008 of the family's 1478-position model. The record is from RNAcentral.
CAGCCGUAAACUAUGUGCGUUAGGUGUAUCGGUGACCACGAGUUACCGAGGUGCCGAAGGGAAACCGUGAAACGUGCCGCCUGGGAAGUACGGUCGCAAGGCUGAAACUUAAAGGAAUUGGCGGGGGAGCACCACAACAGGUGGAGCCUGCGGUUUAAUUGGACUCAACGCCGGGAAGCUCACCGGAUAGGACAGCAGAAUGAUUGCCGGGCUGAAGACCCUGCAUGACUAGCUGAGAGGAGGUGCAUGGCGUCAGUGACU